GUACCCUCUGCUCGCAGCUCCUCUGAGCACGCCGUCUCAUCAUCACCGUCAUGAAUCAUCGUAGGAAAGUCCUAAAUCCCAGAGUUUGCAAUGUUAUAAAACUCACAACCUUUGGAAGGAACUAACCUCUUGCGGGUCAGGCAAAUUGGAGCUGAUAUAAUGCAAAGUGCACGGUGGUGGAUUUUAUUUAUUAUUAUUAUUUUUAGAUUUAUUCAUCAGUCCGUGCAGGAGGAAGUGAAGCCAUCACUGGAUACAAACGUAGGACAAGUGCAGCGUCAUGAGCGUGUAGAGGGAGGUGGAGAGCCGGGAGAGGCUUUGCUGAGGGAGUGGUAUUCAGAAGAACGAGAGUCAGUAGAACCCAAAUGUUAGGGCAGCCUUACCAGGAGCAGGACGACUGGAAACGGUUGGCUUCACUGGCCCUGGCGGAACCGCGACGUGGAUGGGGCACCCUGUGAAGUGCUCUGAGUUCCUGGUUCGAGGUGAGAAGGUUGGUGAAGAAGGCUGAGAACCUCUCAGUGCAUUAAAACCAUCAGCCGUCCCUGAGCAGCUGUGGAACGAGGGCUUCCUAUACCUUAGAAAUUCUGCCCUUGCUUCAUUUCCUUUCAUUUUUUCCCCCCUACUUGGUGAACCCAAAGACACUUGCCCAGUGGACUCUUGCUCUGAGGGGAUUUGUAAAUAUCUCAGAGAGUCGAAUUGAAGAUCAAAAAUAAAACCUAGCACUGCUCUCCAGUGUUCUCUGCGCUCCUUGCCUUUGGGGGAUAGCAUGAUAAUUAGGACAGAGGCAUGGAUAUUUGAGAUUACGCCUUAAAUAAACUGGGGCAGAACUUCUUUAAGCUCCUCCAACUAUUUUUAUCUCUGAGGCAGAAAACACUGAUUUCAAUGCUCAGCUUAACUUGGCUUUGACACCAGGUAAGGAAAACAAAGGCUCUGGGACCUCCAGGUCCAGUCAGAGGAAAGGGCUUAAGGGCUGC
RNAcentral lists this long non-coding RNA (971 nucleotides) under Callithrix jacchus (white-tufted-ear marmoset). RNAcentral's name for it is "lncRNA (ENSCJAG00000082648.1)". Lineage: Eukaryota; Metazoa; Chordata; Mammalia; Primates; Cebidae. The record is from RNAcentral.